This 253-nucleotide ribosomal RNA is filed under the name uncultured bacterium. Its description in RNAcentral is "partial 16S ribosomal RNA". It matches the Rfam family "Bacterial small subunit ribosomal RNA", at positions 524 to 776 of the family's 1533-position model. The record is from RNAcentral.
UACGUAGGUGGCAGGCGUUAUCCGGAUUUACUGGGUGUAAAGGGCGUGUAGGCGGGGAAGCAAGUCAGAUGUGAAAACCACGGGCUCAACCUGUGGCCUGCAUUUGAAACUGUUUUUCUUGAGUGCUGGAGAGGCAAUCGGAAUUCCGUGUGUAGCGGUGAAAUGCGUAGAUAUACGGAGGAACACCAGUGGCGAAGGCGGAUUGCUGGACAGUAACUGACGCUGAGGCGCGAAAGCGUGGGGAGCAAACAGG